This 209-nucleotide long non-coding RNA is filed under the name Elaeis guineensis (African oil palm). RNAcentral's name for it is "long non-coding RNA (EGUI_LNC062664)". Lineage: Eukaryota; Viridiplantae; Streptophyta; Magnoliopsida; Arecales; Arecaceae. The record is from RNAcentral.
UUGUGAUGAAUUAUGUCAAAAAAAUUUUAUUAUUUCAUAAUUCAAAUAUAAAUUACAAAGUGUAUAAUCAUUCAAUGAUUGGCUUUAGGAUAUAUUUCCUAACAACUCCUAUUUAGAUUAAAGCCAAUCGAUACAGUAUAUAAUACUUAUCUUUCAUUUGAGUUCAACGAACUCUUUGAUUCCGAAGGCUUUUGCAAAUGGGUCGGCCA